GACAUUGACACCGACAACCUGACCUACGGAAUGCCUCACCUCACCCAAUCGGAACAGAGUGCCUUCUUCUACUAUAGUGGGUACAUCGUAUCACGUGUCCUCAAGAAUAAUGUUACAUGUGAACAGUGCCGAAGUGUCCUAACUACAAAAAAUGUGACUUCAGCUGCAAGUGUUUUUACUACAAGCAAGUGUUACACACCUGGAGCUCUAGUGUAUCCUUCUGACAGGGUGUACAACAUGCUACUGACAUGUGAAGACUGUUUUGUGAAGAUGAUUGUACAGUGCAUGGACAAAGAAAACAUUGUUAUGACCCUUCAAGGCAUAAUGAUGGAUGCCACAGCAGAAGUGAACAUACCUAGCUGCCAUCAUGUGAAAGAGAAACUGAUCAAGAGGUUCUGCCAUGCUCGCUUGCAACUGCAUUUGUCAGACCUCAGCAAGAAAAGCAACACAAAAUCGAAAGACAUGGGAAGUAAGAGCAUGUGUGCUCCAAGACGCCAUAAGUGAACCUGUAUUGACAGAACUGUCUGCAGUCCCUGUGGCUGCAGAACAAAAAUGUGAUGCGAUAAGUCUUUAUAUGUGCUUUAUUUGUGUGAGAAAUGGACUCACUUGUAAAUAUCCCUUUAUAAUUAUUGCAUACAUGUGACAGUGUUUUUGUGAGAAAUGGACUCACUUGUAAAUAUCGCUUUAUAAUUAUUGCGUACAUGUGACAGUGUUUUUGUGAGAAAUGGACUCUCUUGUAAAUAGCCCUUUAUAAUUAUUGCGUACAUGUGACUGUGUUUUUGUGAGAUGUGGACUCACUUGUAAGUAUACCUUUUUCACUAUUUAUAUACCAAGCAAGAGUGUAAAUUUUGUAGUGUUAUAUAUGUGUCUUCCUUGUGUACCCUCACCUUGAAGUGGUAAGGGAGCUUGUGUGCUUCUGUGAAUCUGUGGGCUCAGCCAACUAAGGGCCACCCAUGUUGGAAAGGUCACAGCUGAGGAGCCAGACCAAGAAGGGUACAAAAUAUAUGCAGAAAAUAAAAGUUGUAGGCAGUGCA
Molecule: long non-coding RNA, 1034 nt
Organism: Ornithodoros turicata
Lineage: Eukaryota; Metazoa; Arthropoda; Arachnida; Ixodida; Argasidae
Exons: 2
Source: RefSeq, a predicted model, not a curated record